Molecule: ribosomal RNA, 250 nt
Filed under: uncultured bacterium
Lineage: Bacteria
Description: partial 16S ribosomal RNA
Rfam family: Bacterial small subunit ribosomal RNA
Source: RNAcentral
AACGUAGGAGGCGAGCGUUAUCCGGAUUUACUGGGUGUAAAGCGCGAGCAGGUGGUCGGGUAAGUGGUGCGUGAAAGCGCCCAGGCUCAACCGGGCGAGGACGUGCCAGACUGCCGGGCUAGAGGCAGGUAGAGGCAGAUGGAAUUCCGGGUGUAGUGGUGAAAUGCGUAGAGAUCCGGAGGAACACCAGUGGCGAAGGCGGUCUGCUGGGCCUGACCUGACGCUCAGACGCGAAAGCAUGGGGAGCGAA